UGCAACGGCCAUACCACGUUGAAAAUGCCAGUUCUCGUCCGAUCACUGAAGCCAAGCAACGUCGGGCGCGGUUAGUACUUGGAUGGGUGACCGCUUGGGAACACCGCGUGUCGUUGUUU
Molecule: ribosomal RNA, 119 nt
Filed under: Leptinotarsa decemlineata (Colorado potato beetle)
Lineage: Eukaryota; Metazoa; Arthropoda; Insecta; Coleoptera; Chrysomelidae
Source: RNAcentral